AUUUGACAAACCACUUAAAGGAUGAAGUGAGAUGUUCUGCAUCCAUGUUCUUUAAAUAGUACAACUUUUUUAAAACAAAUCGUGAUACAUUAUAAAACAGAUUAAGGGUCUGUCCCUCUCGUAUUUUCCCUGUGACGGAUAAAUGAGAUCCGGCCAUCUUUGAGGACAGGAAGCGAGGAGACGCUGAUGGCGCCCGACUAGAAACCAUUACCGACUAUUCGCUUUCAAAGGUCUAUUUUAUUUCGCCUCAUUCGCGAGCGUGAAGAGCAAAAUACUCGUCAAUUCAAGUUCUACAUUAGUGAGUGACAGACACUUCCCACAGAGCAGAGAUGGACUCUGAGGAGAUGGAGGUGGAGAGCAGCAGUGAUGUGGGGCAUUCUGGGAUGGAGGAGCCAUCAGAGAGCGGCAUGGGCAUGGAGUCUUCAGAAGCCAUGUCUGCUGAUAGCAGCGAUGCAGCGGCUCCUCCUGCCCCGGCCCCAGAGUCAGACUGUCACGUAGGACAGAGCUCUGAGGGACUUGUGGUUUUUAUCCCAGAAACCAGCUCCAGUACAGAUGUGCGAAGAGUUCAUCUCCCAGACUCCUCUUCUGUCGCACAGUCGACCAGUGUGUCCAGCGUCUCCACAGUGACACAGUCGGUCCUGGUGUCAGAGUCUGUCCAGGUCCUGGUCCACUCCAGCGCUGUUUCUGAAGGAGGAAUGAUGGUUUCUGAUUCCACUGCUUCCACCUCCUCAGAUCUGGGCUCAGCUAUCGACAAGAUCAUCGAAUCCACCAUUGGACCUGACAUUAUGAAUGUUACGAGUGCAGAGGAUGGCAGUGCAGAGACCACACAAUAUCUGAUCCUUCAAGGACCUGAUGAUGGAGCUCCUAUGGUGGCUCAGAUGUCUUCCUCUGCUCUGUCAAGCCGCGUUGCCAUUGAAGCCCUUGCCGAUGGACCUACCUCCACUUGCCUGGACCAGGCAGACCUGUCAGAAAACCCACAGGGCAGCAUGGAACCCGACCAGCCUGGACACUCCGGAUACCGUGAGCAUGACGACAGCAGCAGCAGCUGCAGCCGCCCAGACCAGACGCAGCACUCCCAGUACAUAGAGUGCAGCGGAGGAGACGACCCGGACCAGACCAGAGAGGCUCGCUACAUCGAGUGCUCAGGAGCCGAACCAGACCAGACCCCACGUCAUUCAGGGGUCACCAACUACAACAUGGCAGACUCAGAAGAACCUCUAGGGCGUUACGCAGCAGAGUGCAGCGGUACGAACAGUAGCCCUCAGAGACGCUCGUUUCGCUCCUCUCGGUACAUCGUAGAGUGCAGUGAUGACUACUUGGAUUACGGGGCUGAAGGUGGGGAGCGACCGCAGCAUUCACAUUAUAUAGACAGCAGCAUGGAUGACAGGGAGCACGUCUCGGCAUCAGAGCAAGAGGAAAGUGUGGUAGAAGAGGCCCAGAACUCCUACUUACCACAGGGCUCGCUAUAUGCUGACGAGGGUACGGUUCAGCACUCACUGGCUGACACUGUGGGAUCCCAGCUCACUGACCAAAUGGACUGCAAUGAUAACUUGCCUGGCUCAUACAUAAGUAGCAGUGGGACCUAUUCCACCCACGCAGAGCCUGAAGCGGUGGAGUCUGGGGUGGUGGAGGAGCCUGGGCACAGAACCCCAGAUAUGGCUGAGCUAGAGGAAAUGAUGGAGGUGGUGAUCGUACAGCAGUUUAAGUGUAAGAUGUGCCCAUAUAAAAGUGUCUCCAAGGAUACGCUCAUCAACCACAUGAGAGACAAACACUUUAAACCACCAGGCCAAAAGAAACGUGGACGGGGACGUCCUCGAAAAUCCGAGAGCAGGGCACGAGCGGUCACUGAGGUCAAGAAGGAGGAGGCAGCAGAAGAGGAAGAAGAUGACAUCAUUGAUGCAGGCGCUCUUGAUGAUCAAGGUGACCGUGAUUAUAAGCCAGCUGUUGAAGAGGCCAGGUCCAGAUUGGCUUCCAGUCACAGCACUCCUCCUCCUCCUCCUUCCUGCUCUUCAUCAUCUUCCUCUACCUCACGGAAACGGCCCCGCAGGACAGUGGGGCCACCCCGCAAAUUCCUUCUUGACUCAGAGCCACCAGCAGCAACUCAAACAAGAAAUGCAGAGGACCCUCAAGAUCCGGAAGAAGCAAGUUCGUCAGGAUUGGAGAAUGGUUCUACCUCUCUAUCCAACGGGUCAGCAGUGGAACCAGUCGUCAGCCAGUCAGAUUCAGAAAACAAAGAUCCCUCGUCAAACACAGGCCCUGAUGACCUGGAGUUUCUGCCCAAAAAAAGAGGAAGACCAUCUAAACGGUUCCUUCAAAAGAAGUACAAAAAGUACAUGAAUCGCAACAAGUACUACAGAUCCCUUAAGCCUCUACUAAGACCUCAUAAUUGCUGGAUCUGUGGCUCUCGCUUUCUUUCACAAGAGGAUCUCAGAUUCCAUGUGGAUUCUCAUGAGGGAAAUGACCCUGAAUGCUUUAAGUGCCUGCAGUGCAGCUACCGCUGCAAACGCUGGUCCUCACUGAAGGAGCACAUGUUCAAUCACGAAGGUACAAAACCAUACAAAUGUGAGAUGUGUGAUUACUCCAGUGUUUAUAAGAAAGACGUGAUCCGACACUCAGCUGUCCACAACAAAACCAAGAGUCGAAAGACCGAUAUGGUUCCUAAAGUGUCCGAGUUUCCAUGCCCCAUCUGCGGUCGCGUAUAUCCCAUGCAGAAACGCCUGACGCAACACUUGAAGACACACAGCACAGAGAAACCUCACAUGUGUGACAAGUGUGGGAAAUCCUUCAAGAAGCGCUACACCUUCAAAAUGCAUCUUCUCACACACAUUCAGAACUGUGGCAACAGCAACUUUCAGUGCGAGUUCUGUGAGUACACCUGCAAUGACAAGAAGCACCUGCUUAAUCACCAGCUGUCCCACACUAACGACAAACCGUUCAAAUGCGAAGAGUGCAAAUACUCCACGAGUAAAGAGGAUUUCCUGUUGUCCCAUAUUGCCAUUAAACACACUGGUGAAAAGCCCUUCUCAUGUGACAUGUGCCACUUCACGACCAGACACAGGAAGAACCUGCGGCUGCAUGUGCAGUGUCGGCACCCCGAGGCCUUCGAUGAGUGGAGCCGAUCCCACCCAGAGGAGCCAAUUCGCCGGCGCCAGACGUCUGUUUUCACCAUGCAGCAGAUUGAGGAAUUGAGAUUACAGCAUGAACCCCAGGAAUUUCAAGGGACCAUUGUAACAGUGGACCCCAUUACUCUCCAAACCAUGGAGUCCAUAGGGAAAACAUCUGUAUCUCAAGAUGCACUAGGAAACACUACCAUCAUUUAUGAGCAAGCCCAGACAUCAGACCUCGCAGCCCAAAAUGCUCUAGAUCUGCUGCUGAACAUGAGUAACGCUAGAGAACUGCAGGUGGCAGUGUUGAAACCAGACGGGAAGACCCUGGAGACGGGGUCAUGGACGGGAGCUGACUCUGGGACUGAGGGCUCAUUCUUGCAGCCUCAAAAGAUCGUCACAUUCCAUGUGUCAGAGAACGGGGACACUCUGGUGCAGGAGGCGUUUGAGACGGCUACGGAGACCGUGGAGCAAGAGGAGACAACGGAUGUGUCGCAAGAGGUGACACAGAUUGGCAUGGGUACAUACGAGGGAGCAGAUUUCAGUGUGGUGGAGCAGGCCUCCGAAGAGACAGCACACAGCAGUUUAGAGGAACCCUCAGCUGAGCCUCAGCUCAUGGAAGUGAGCACCGAGCCCUUGUCCAUCUCUACACCUCUCAAAGAGAAUAAAGAGAAGUUUUAUUUGAGUUCAGACUUCACGGAUGGAGUUCUGCAGCAGGUAGAGCUAAGCAGUGAAGCUCCAGGUUCCCCUCCUCUGUGUCCAUCACCCGCUUCUAAACAGCUGAACGGCAAGCGCUUCUCCUGCCACAUCUGCAUGGAGUCUUUCCACUGCCGCUCGGACAUGGAGAACCACAAGAGGGCGCACAUAGGCCCCAAAACAUUCAAAUGCCCCGACUGUGACUUUACAGCACCUUCUUGGCCAGAAGUCAAGUCUCACAUGGCCAUGCACGCAUAUUUGAGGCCUCAUAAAUGCAACAGCUGCAGUUUUGCCUCUAAAAACAAGAAGGACCUGAGACGCCACAUGAUGACACACACCAACGAAAAGCCUUACGCCUGUCAAAUCUGUGGCCAAAGGUUUAACCGUAACGGCCAUCUGAAGUUCCACAUGGAGAGGCUUCAUACUCAGGAACCCUCGCCCCAAAAAACCCGCUCUGUCCCCUCCAAACAGACCAUCAUCGUUAACAGUGAUGAAGAAGCUUUAGCCACACUGCAGAAUCUGCAGACGGGUCAGACAGUCAUCAGUCCGGAGAGGUUGCAGCAGGCUUUGGGUCAGGAACACAUCAUUGUGGCUCAGGAUCAGACUCUUUCUGACCAGGAGGAGGCAACAUAUAUUCAGCAGAUCACAACAGUAGAUGGACAGACAGUGCAGCACUUAAUGACUGGAGACAAUCAGGUCACUGAGGUCCAGUAUAUCAUCUCUCAGGAUGGAGUUCAGCAUCUGCUCCCGCGGGAAUAUGUGGUGCUAUCUGAAGGAAACCACUUUCAGAUGGAGGAUGGGCGGAUCGCUCACAUUCAGUAUGAGCAUGACGGGACGUUUCUGCAGGAGCAACAGAUUGCUCUGUCUCAGGAUGGACAGAUCCAGUACGUCCCCAUCACUGCCGAGCCUGAGGACCUGGGGGCAGCCGCCCAUUCAGCGGUCACAGCUGUUGCAGAUGCAGCCAUGGCUCAGGCUCAGACGGUUUACACCGAGGCCACACCUGAACAGCUGGAGCAGCUGCAGCAGCAGGGCAUCCAGUAUGACGUCAUCACCUUUACUGAGGAGUAGAAACAAGACACAUACACACAGAUCCUCAGAUGACUGCAGUGGACACUCCAAACUCUGACAGUCACAAGAGGUGACGUUUAUUCUGCAGAACAACACGGCAGAUGGACAGACGGUGGAGCACCUGAUGACCAGACACAGUGAAAUCACUGAGGUAACUUCUGCUGCAGUUUUAAAGUAUCAAUAUAAACAGAUUGAAAAGCCUCAGUCAGAUGGACGUAUGAUCAAAUCACAGUCUGACAGUUUUUGUCUCCAUCUCUUCUUCUGUCUUCCAUUGCCCAGGUCAUGUAUGUGAGCUCUCAGAAUGGAGUUUAACAUUUACAGCUUUUGAUGCACUCUCAAGGCAACCGAGUUCAGUUUACAAAAAAUAAAAACAAAAUUUAAAUGUAAAAAAAAGUUGCUGCAAUUAGUUAACCACUUAACAUUUGUUGAGGUAACAUUCCAGUUUAAAUUUAACUAAACUUUUAAUUUCAAGCAUGAACACUGAUAUUUUUUUAUUUUAUUUAAAAUGAUGAGAUAACUCUUCAUUUUUGGCAUGUGCUAUUUGACAAAGUUUAUCCAUAAUUUCUCCAGAAUGUUUUCCUUCAUAAUUCUGCAGGAACUCUAGAUGUAAAUUGUGUAGAUUAAUUGUAUAGUGCUAUUUUGUCUUAUCCUUUCAUUAAAGUACUUUAAGUGACUUACACACCAGUGGUGAGAGUUUAUUUAACAAUAUUUUGUGACAAUCUGCUCUGUAGCUAAAUUGUUAAGGUUAAUUUUUCAUUUGUUCUCAUUUAAUGAAAUCAUCACGUAUUGUAAUUUGGUGUUGGGACUGAUGAGAACUUGAACUCAACCGUCAUUCUAUGUUAAGACAUUCACUGCUUAUGAUGAACAAACCUCUUUCAAACUCUAUUCAAGGACAACAGAAAAUUUAAAAGUAACACUUCUACUUGCCAUGACAAUAGAAAACUUAGAGAAAUACAACAGAAACUUAGAGAAAUACAACUUUAAUGUGGUUGUUAUGUUUAAGUGGUAUUUCAUAUUCUUCUUAAGAAGCAGUCAAAAAUACUUUUCUAAUGUGUAAAAAAGGCUGUACUUCCUUUUUUGUCAGUUGUUCGUCAUAGUCUUGUGUUUAGAUCGGUCGUUCCUCAAUUUGACUGGAAAAGAACAUAGAGUUCACAAUUUUACCAGAGUGAGUUCAGCUUUUUAAAGAAUAUUUGAAAUAUUAGAGAGGAAAAUGAAGCUGAUUUUAUUUCUUCUUGUCCUCUUGGAGAACGGAAUGAAUUCAACAGCAGGGCUCCGUGUGUUUUAUUUUUCACAGGAAAUUAUCUUACAAUAUUUCUUUAACACAUAUUAUAAUAAUUAUGAAAUAUCUUGUUGUAAGUUAUAUCAAUCAGAGUGCAUCAUCUUUGUUAAUAACAGAGGAUAUGCUUCAAACCUGUAUAGAGGAAGAAUAUUCAUCACUAAUUAUGAUGGAAUAUUUCAAGUAAGAAUGACAAAGCUGAGCAUACAGGAUGCUGGCAGAUACAGAUGUGGUGUCCGUGGCAUCCCUGUCACUUAUGAAGAUGUUCAAGUUACAGUUUCUGAAUUAACACGCAUCGCAGUAAACACAGUUCCUCUCUUGCCAAAAUUCUCCAUCAAACCAUCAGUCUGGCCCUCUACUUCUCCCUCUCCCUCUUUGCCAACUGUUUCUGAAGACGACAAAGAUAAACUAAGCAGUGACAGCUGGAGAGCAUCCUACACAUUAGCUGCAGUUUUAAGUGUUCUGCUGUUUGCUGUCAUCUCUGCGACACUGCUCGUGUACCGUCUAAACACCAGGAAGAAGAAAUCCACAGGUAAAAGUGAAAUUUGUGGUUCUCCUAACGUCUCCAAGGAGCAGAAUGCCAUCAUCUACUCUAUGGUGGAGUUUAAGCCCCAUCAGGAUCCAUCUGAACUUUAUGCCAAUUUACAGAUGCACAACCCAAAAGACUUUUCUUCAAACUCUAACGUCACAGUAGAGGAAAGUGUAGAAUAUUCCACUAUUAUUAGAGCACCACCAUAAACAUUCGCAAUAAUUUUGUUCUAUGUUUUCAAUUGCUUUGAUUUGUUUUUUGGUUGCUUUUGUUUUCUUGAGAUAUUUUUUUCUUAUAAGAUAAAAAAAAAAAAACAAUAUUAUUAAUUCAACACUGUACUGAUACAGCAGAAGUAUUUUAUUCUUGAAAAUUUAAUUAUGAUGAUAAAUGCCGGAAAAUGUCUAUAGAAGUAAAAUGUAUUAUCUAAAAAAUA
Molecule: RNA transcript, 7106 nt
Organism: Carassius auratus (goldfish)
Lineage: Eukaryota; Metazoa; Chordata; Actinopteri; Cypriniformes; Cyprinidae
Gene name: zinc finger protein 335-like
Exons: 34
Source: RefSeq, a predicted model, not a curated record